RNAcentral lists this ribosomal RNA (465 nucleotides) under Vreelandella stevensii. RNAcentral describes it as "partial 16S ribosomal RNA". It matches the Rfam family "Bacterial small subunit ribosomal RNA", at positions 338 to 795 of the family's 1533-position model. Lineage: Bacteria; Pseudomonadati; Pseudomonadota; Gammaproteobacteria; Oceanospirillales; Halomonadaceae. The record is from RNAcentral.
CCUACGGGAGGCUGCAGUGGGGAAUAUUGGACAAUGGGCGAAAGCCUGAUCCAGCCAUGCCGCGUGUGUGAAGAAGGCCUUCGGGGUGUAAAGCACUUUCAGUGGGGAAGAAAGCCUUGGGGCUAAUACCCUCGAGGAAGGACAUCACCCACAGAAGAAGCACCGGCUAACUCCGUGCCAGCAGCCGCGGUAAUACGGAGGGUGCGAGCGUUAAUCGGAAUUACUGGGCGUAAAGCGCGCGUAGGCGGUCUGAUAAGCCGGUUGUGAAAGCCCCGGGCUCAACCUGGGAACGGCAUCCGGAACUGUCAGGCUAGAGUGCAGGAGAGGAAGGUAGAAUUCCCGGUGUAGCGGUGAAAUGCGUAGAGAUCGGGAGGAAUACCAGUGGCGAAGGCGGCCUUCUGGACUGACACUGACGCUGAGGUGCGAAAGCGUGGGUAGCAAACAGGAUUAGAUACCCCUGUAGUC